Molecule: long non-coding RNA, 1175 nt
Organism: Helianthus annuus (common sunflower)
Lineage: Eukaryota; Viridiplantae; Streptophyta; Magnoliopsida; Asterales; Asteraceae
Exons: 6
Source: RefSeq, a predicted model, not a curated record
UUUCAAUCCAUCUCGCUCUCUCUCAAAACUUUACCUUCUUCUUCAUAAACCUUAUUUCUUGGUUGUUCAAUCCCUGAUUUACAGAUACAGAAUUUUGGUCCAACAGGUUGUUAAGCGAUGUUGAGCUUCCAACGUGAAUGGUUUUUCCCAACUUGUGGUUACUCUCUAGUCAGUAACCCUCUCGGAAGAUCUAGGGUUAAGAAUUGAAGACGGAGGAUACACGGAGAAGUGUGCACUUCUCUCUAAGAGAUCGAUUAGGUCUCUUUGCGGCGGCGGUGGUAAUAGUGUCAUUCUGCGAUGAGGCAAACACCUAAGAGGUUGCAAGCACUUGAUGACUUUGAGAUUUGCCAUAACAUGUCACCUGCUGAGCUCAUUGACCAUUUUGCUUCACUCAGGUUCACCUCUACGACUACAAAUAUAUGACUAAUACUUGAUAUAUAUUUAUCUAUCUAAUGUAAACACAAAAUUAGUGGGUAAGACAAUCCCCUAGAUAUUUUAUUCAUCACUUUGCUUAUGGUUAUAGAUAAUCUAUUAAGUUGCAGAAUGGAAGUUAACACUUUAUAUAUAUUAUAUGUUUUUUAAUUGAAAUAUAGGUAUGAAACUUCUGUUCAUUUGUGGCCUGAUCACAGGCUAUAUAAAUGGUUAAUUGCAUGUGGUCUCGAGACUGUUUUGCUCACACUUGCUGGUCGUGAGGUUCAAAAAGGGUUGCUAUGUUUUACUAAAUUGGCAGCUUAGCUUAGCUUAGCUGAAGCCGCUUAUUGCUCUUUUUUUAAUAGAAGCUUGAAAUUACAAAGGCGUUACCUUGCAUAAAUGUGGCCGACAUGGUAAUUACUACAUUCUGGUUCAAAAAGGGUUGCUAUGUUUUACUAAAUUGGCAGCUUAGCUUAGCUGAAGCUGCUUAUUGCUCUUUUUUUAAUAGCAGCUACUAAUCUAAGUUUUUUAAUUUUCCAUUAAAAAAAAUCUAAGUUUUUUAAGCUAGAAAUGGACUGUAGAAUUUGAACCAAUGGCUUCGAUCUACACCAAGACCUAGAGGUAAUGAACAACUAAGGCCCAUAUUUUUCGGUUCAGUUUACACUUUUAAGCAUAGUUGAGUUGAAUUUUAGUGUUGUGGAAUAGUGAAGUGAUACGGAUGUAAACAAUUUAGAGUGAUAAUUUAAUGCUUCGUAUUUUCGUUA